This 461-nucleotide ribosomal RNA is filed under the name uncultured bacterium. RNAcentral describes it as "bacterial SSU rRNA". It matches the Rfam family "Bacterial small subunit ribosomal RNA", at positions 30 to 483 of the family's 1533-position model. The record is from RNAcentral.
AUUGAACGCUGGCGGCAUGCCUUACACAUGCAAGUCGAACGGCAGCGGACCUUCGGGUGCCGGCGAGUGGCGAACGGGUGAGUAAUAUAUCGGAACGUACCUUUCAGUGGGGGAUAACGUAGCGAAAGUUACGCUAAUACCGCAUAUUCUGUGAGCAGGAAAGCAGGGGAUCGCAAGACCUUGCGCUGAUUGAGCGGCCGAUAUCAGAUUAGCUAGUUGGUGAGGUAAAGGCUCACCAAGGCGACGAUCUGUAGCGGGUCUGAGAGGAUGAUCCGCCACACUGGAACUGAGACACGGUCCAGACUCCUACGGGAGGCAGCAGUGGGGAAUUUUGGACAAUGGGCGCAAGCCUGAUCCAGCCAUGCCGCGUGAGUGAAGAAGGCCUCGGUUGUAAGUACGUACUUUCGUCCGGGAGGAAAGUACGCACUCUCUAACAUAGGUGUGGAGUGACGGUACCGGAA